Long non-coding RNA from Girardinichthys multiradiatus, 765 nucleotides. RefSeq lists it as uncharacterized. The record is from RefSeq and is a predicted model, not a curated record. Lineage: Eukaryota; Metazoa; Chordata; Actinopteri; Cyprinodontiformes; Goodeidae. The transcript has 2 exons.
GGAGAGGAAAUAGAGAAAGGUCAUGGUUUUAGGCUGCUGUCACGACAACCACAAGUGGCAGUAAAAACAACACUAGAGUAAACAGGAAGUGGCAGGUACAGUUUCACUCACUAUUAUGAACCAAAAUAAAGUGCCACAGCGGUGAAAACAAUGGAGAAGAACAGGCAGAGGCUCAGUGGGGCUUGGGCCAAUGAGCUCAGAGGGCACCUGCAUGGAGAAGUGUGUCCUCUGGGUGGAAUCACGCUGCAGCAGAGGCAUAAACACACUUUCCAAAUAAUAAGCUCUCCCAUCUUGUUCAAGUGAUUCACUUGUUUUUGUUCAUGUUGCAUUCAAGCAGCUCCUGCACCUGUUUUUAUUUAAAACUCUGUCGUUUACCUUUCUGUCCAUGGUGACUACAUGAAAGCUUAACUUUCAUGUAGUCACCAAGUGUUCAGGUGGACCACUUUUCAACCUAACCAAAGGAGCUGCAGGCUGUCUGUGGACCAGGGGUUAAACCUCUGUUAGUGUCAGCUGAUCAAGACCAGGAUGCUGAGCAGAGACCCCUGUGCUGAGUCUAAUGGGCUUAUGAGCCUAAUCCCGGGUCAGCCUGGCAGGACGGGAAGAGAGAAAGCAGGAGGACAGUGGAAUAUUUCAGUGGAGAGCUUCUGUGGGAAACUCUGUGGAAACACCUUCUCCACGCAUUACCAAGGGCGAAGGUAAAGUGAGCUCCUCCAAGCAAACAUCUGCCUUGGUUGGACUCUGAUCCAGUCGGCAGUUACUGCUGCA